This 103-nucleotide non-coding RNA is filed under the name Acholeplasma oculi. Its description in RNAcentral is "Guanine sequence". It matches the Rfam family "Purine riboswitch aptamer". From Rfam's summary of the family: Riboswitches are metabolite binding domains within certain messenger RNAs that serve as precision sensors for their corresponding targets. Allosteric rearrangement of mRNA structure is mediated by ligand binding, and this results in modulation of gene expression. A class of riboswitches that selectively recognises guanine and becomes saturated at concentrations as low as 5 nM. The record is from Rfam by way of RNAcentral. Lineage: Bacteria; Bacillati; Mycoplasmatota; Mollicutes; Acholeplasmatales; Acholeplasmataceae.
AUAGAUGUUUGAUAGUUUUGUCGUAUAAUUGGCUAAAUAUGGUAGCCAGAGUUUCUACCACACCACCGUAAAUUGUGUGACUACGAUGACCAACUUUUCUUUU